RNAcentral lists this ribosomal RNA (314 nucleotides) under uncultured bacterium. Its description in RNAcentral is "bacterial SSU rRNA". It matches the Rfam family "Bacterial small subunit ribosomal RNA", at positions 28 to 334 of the family's 1533-position model. The record is from RNAcentral.
GAUGAACGCUAGCGGCAGGCUUAACACAUGCAAGUCGAAGGGCAACGGGGAGAGUGCUUGCACUCUCUGCCGGCGACUGGCGCACGGGUGAGUAACACGUAUGCAACCUGCCCUCCACAGGGGGACAACCUUCCGAAAGGGAGGCUAAUCCCGCGUAUAUCCCUUGGGGGCAUCCCCGGGGGAGGAAAGGAUUACCGGUGGAGGAUGGGCAUGCGGCGCAUUAGGCAGUAGGCGGGGUAACGGCCCACCUAACCGACGAUGCGUAGGGGUUCUGAGAGGAAGGUCCCCCACAUUGGAACUGAGACACGGUCCAA